This is a long non-coding RNA of Vombatus ursinus (common wombat), 388 nucleotides long. RefSeq lists it as uncharacterized. Lineage: Eukaryota; Metazoa; Chordata; Mammalia; Diprotodontia; Vombatidae. The record is from RefSeq and is a predicted model, not a curated record. The transcript is spliced from 3 exons.
GACUGGUGGUGGCCCAGGAUGCAGUGAGUGACCUUGGCCUUUCUAAAUUAAGGUCUUUCCCAGGUCUCAGCUUGUCCAAGGCAAGGCCUAUUCAAUGAUUAAGGGCUCGGAUUCUGUUUGGUGUUUUUUUUGGAUCUGUUUAGAAGAGUGCGUGGAGGGGAGCCCACCAAGUACUUUCUAUCACUCCACCAUCUUGACUCUGCCUCUUCUGGUCUCUUCUAGUCUGUGUUUGGACAUGAAAUCUUUCCUUAUGCAAAGAUCUGAAAGGGGGCUGAUUGAUUCUUCUAUAUGGAUUCCCACAUGGUGCUAGAUUUUAAAAGGGGAAAUGGAAAAGAGUACCAAAGACAGAUGUCAUCCUGCCUACUUCACAUUUAUCCCCAAACUUCUU